This 101-nucleotide small nucleolar RNA is filed under the name Kryptolebias marmoratus (mangrove rivulus). Its description in RNAcentral is "Small nucleolar RNA SNORD16 (ENSKMAG00000019536.1)". It matches the Rfam family "Small nucleolar RNA SNORD16". From Rfam's summary of the family: U16 is a member of the C/D class of snoRNA which contain the C (UGAUGA) and D (CUGA) box motifs. U81 acts as a guanine methylation guide and is found in an intron of ribosomal proteins L1 gene in animals. This snoRNA was independently named MBII-98 in mouse. The record is from Rfam by way of RNAcentral. Lineage: Eukaryota; Metazoa; Chordata; Actinopteri; Cyprinodontiformes; Rivulidae.
UGCUGUGAUGGUGUAAUUUGCGUCUGAGACCUGUGAACAGUGACAGUUGCCUGCUGUUAUUAAGCUGUCACAGAGUAUUGAUGUGUGUUAAAGUCUGAGCA